CCUGAGUCGGGCUUCCAUCGGCCUCUAGGUCAACCUCCAAUCGAACCCUAAGUCAGGAUUCCGCCAAUUACCAAGAACUAGAUCCCAUGGUCCAUAUUGAUAUGGAUCCUGUUAUGAAUAAAACUCUGAUGCCCGAUCUAAAGAUACAGACAAACUCUAGUCGAGGCCGACCCAUACCUCAGCCAUCGAUGCUCACAUCGGUCACUAACUUGUAGAGAGUUCUUCAGCUUCUCACCAACAUCUUUGUUCAUAAGCCGC
This 258-nucleotide long non-coding RNA is filed under the name Elaeis guineensis (African oil palm). Its description in RNAcentral is "long non-coding RNA (EGUI_LNC021845)". Lineage: Eukaryota; Viridiplantae; Streptophyta; Magnoliopsida; Arecales; Arecaceae. The record is from RNAcentral.